This is a microRNA precursor of Medicago truncatula (barrel medic), 81 nucleotides long. It matches the Rfam family "MIR5743 microRNA precursor family". The record is from Rfam. NCBI's taxonomy places the organism in Eukaryota, Viridiplantae, Streptophyta, Magnoliopsida, Fabales, Fabaceae.
UUUUUUUGGAUGAGAACUGUUUUCCGCACCUUUGGAAAUACAAACAAACAAAGGUGGGAAAACAUUUCUCAUCUAAACAAU